AUGGGAAAGUUCUGUACCUUCUAACCAAUUUUGCUGUAAACCUAAAACUGCUCUUAAAAGUAAAGUCUAUUACCAAAAAAAUGGCUGCAAAUUCUUUGACAUUCCUCCCAUCGAGAGUUUGGGUGGAGGGAGGGGUCUGUAUCCCCUCCUGUUAAAUCUGAGUGGGCUUGAGACUGUGGGACUUCCAGGGUUAGCUCAGGAAAGGCAAUGCUGCUUCCUCUUUGUUUGCUGGGACACUUGCCUUUAGAGCCUUAAGCCAUAGUGUAUGAAGUCUGACUGCUCUGAGGCCACCAUGCUGUGUAGAAGCCCAGGCCACCUGGAGAGGCCACGUAUGGGUGUUCCAGCUGCAGCCACAGCUGAGGUCCCAGCUGACAGCCAGUAUCAUCUACUGGACACAUGGAUGCCUCCAGGUGAUUCCGGUCAUAUUGAGUCAACCCCCGGUGUUCAUGCACCCAGUCAAGGCCCCAGACGUGGAGCAGAGCCAAGCUGUCCCUGAUGUGUUCUAUCCAAAUUCCUGACCCACAGAAUUUGGGAGCAUAAUAAAACAGUUGCUUUAUGCAACUAUGGUCAUAGUGAUUUGUUACACGUUGAUAGUAACUUAAAUGUGAAGGCUGCAUAGAAUCACGGUUAAUAAGGAAUCCAGAACCCAUCUGCUUGACUCCCCCAUUUACCACCACCUCCGCAACCUGGUGCAAGGUAUUUCAACUCUUGUGCCUCAAUUUUCUCAUUGGUAAAUUGUAGGUACUAUUAGUGCCUACCUAAUAUGGGUUACUGUGAAUAUUCAGUGAUUCAGAAAGUGCUUAAAACACUGCGUGGUACCCAGUAAACGCUCCAUAAAGAUUUGCUGUUCUAUUCCAAAGCCUUUCCUGACCACUGUAGCCCAUGGUGAUGUCUUCUCUUAUUCAAUCCCUCAUCGGGCACCACUCACCUUUCCCCAGGGACGACUGUUGGGUUGUCUAAGAAUGUCUUCUCUCCCUGGCCUGACUGCUGGGGUCUUCAGGGCAGGGAACAGCAUGCAUCUGGCAUCUCAACAGCUGUGGGCACAGAGCUUUGCACAGAAUGGAUGUUCUAAAGUAUAUGUUGAAGAAGAAAAACACAAGGCACAGACAGGCACAUGAAUGGCUCUCAUUGGUUCAGUGCCAACGACAGCUCGGGAGGGCUGGUAACUCUCCAUCCUCAGUGUGCUCUGCCUAAGAUAAUCCUCCUCCCUGGCACUUCUCUUCUAUUAUGCUCUUCAUCCGCUCUCUUAUGUUCCAGUCUUUUUGGAAGAUUUUGGUUCAAUGAGUUCCUUUCACGCUCAGUGUCAAAAGUACCUUGUUGCAUUUCCUGAUAAACAGUUGUUUGGACAUAUGGAAAUUCCUAGCAUUGCUCAAAGUUGACACGAGUAUGGGAAAUAGUCAUUACCUCAUCCUGCUAGCAUGAGAGUUCCUGGAUGCAGGUAUUUUUGAAAGUAAAUUGGCCUGGAGGAGCCAAGAUGGCCGAAUAGGAACAGCUCCGGUCUACAGCUCCCAGCGUGAGCGACGCAGAAGACGGUGAUUUCUG
This 1542-nucleotide long non-coding RNA is filed under the name Homo sapiens (human). RNAcentral describes it as "HSALNT0100608". Lineage: Eukaryota; Metazoa; Chordata; Mammalia; Primates; Hominidae. The record is from RNAcentral.